CAGUAAAGCUGAUGUUAAGACCGAAAUUUUAUUUUUCAUGCAGAGUUCACUCUUGGAGAGUUGCAGUAAAGGCAGUCACACUUGGAGUACCUCAGUGACGGCAGAAAGGUUUAUGUUUUCCUCUUGGUGACAACAUAAAUCUCUGUGAGAUUGCUGUAAAGGGCUUGCACUGGGGUGAACUGCUCCCACUGUCCUGCCAUUGGUACACCACUGGAAACAUCACUGAAGAAGCACUGUGGUGGAGGUGGAGGAUGACACGAAGGCAGUGAGACAGAAGCCAGGAUUACACUUAUUUCCUGCAUAUAAACCCCCAAUUAUAGUCAGUCAUGGAGAAGGAUUUGAGACUGAUCUCCCAUCUCUUCAGCUGCAGCACCUGAUUAAAGCCUUCUUCCCUAAAAAUACUUGUUGGCUCAGUGAUUGGCUUUCUGUGUGAUGAACAGCAGGACCUAGACAGGACCCUUCGUGUUUUGAUCUCAGCACCCGUAUAUAAGAACAGCGUCAAUUUUGCUUGGCUUUGGAGGAGAAUUUGGAUGAAAAUGCAGAAGGACAUGUCUCUUCCCAAUUAUAAGAUAGCAAAGCCUUCAUACUCACUUGACUCUGGGAAGGAUUGUGUCACAGAGUAAAAGAAGAAAUUGCUUAUAGACUACAAAGGCUAACAUGGAGAUAGAAGAACCACAUGGAGCUUGGAAAAUGGGAAUCUCAGUAAUAACAUAAUGGCUGUGAGUCUGCAGGGGUGUCCUCCAGUGCUUUUGUUCUUGUUAAAUCCCCAAGGACCUUUGAAGGAUAGUGGGGAGGGGAAUCCUCCAAAUACCUAAGAUUAAAUUUCCUACUGG
RNAcentral lists this long non-coding RNA (833 nucleotides) under Homo sapiens (human). Its description in RNAcentral is "HSALNT0335347". Lineage: Eukaryota; Metazoa; Chordata; Mammalia; Primates; Hominidae. The record is from RNAcentral.